CGGGGCAUACUCUGUUGAAUAAUUCUAUCCUUAUAUAUAUAUAUAUUUUAUGUAUCAUUAGAUAUAUUACUUUAUGUAUCUAAAUGUACGUUUACUAUAUCGAUAAAGAUUAUCAAAUUAUUUCCUAACAUUAUUGCCAUUAAAACUCAUCGUAGUGAUCAUUUACAUAACGAUACUACGCGUAUUGUUUUGUGACUCAUUCUCCACAUAUAUUUAAGACAAGACAAGAAAAUAUGAAGAUAAAAAAAGAGAGAGAAAUUCUAAUUCUAUAAAAAGGAAACCUUCUGACUGCAGCAACAGUUUCUCGAAUUUCUCACAAGCAAAACAGUAGUGUACAUUUAACAGACUUAAGCCCAGAAAGUAAAGUAAUAGUGCUCGACUCAAAAAUUUAUUUAAUACAAUGAAGAUACGCUGUGAUUUCUACAACAGUGGAGUUACCUACGCCGUUGUGUGGCUGUCGUUAACUUAUCUGCUGUUCAUCCUCUCGCUAGCAACAAUAAUCACCGCCAAGCCGACCAUCAAUGAGAUUGACACCAGUAUGACUAGCAAGAAUGCUACAAACGAGACAUGCCCACCUAUCAUGUGUCCCAUAAUGAUAUGCCGCUGGGGAUUCAGCCACGAAACCGAUGAAGUAACCGGCUGUCAAACGUGCAAGUGCUGGGAUCCCUGUUCCAACAUUGAAUGUCCAAAAAACAAGAUAUGCGUGCUACAAAUGCGAGCAUGUUUUACAACACCGUGUCCCCCGUUAACUACCUGUGAGAAUAUCAUGUCUUCAUCAACAUUCUAAUAUGCAGGCAAAUCAUUGUAAAUCACCAAUUCGCAACGGCUAUUCGCAACGUGCCAGUGUGACAAUCCGGCUCUGCGUUGCCACAGGUGUGGAGCGAUGCGUAAAACGUGAAGUCGUCGCAUCCGCAGACGAACC
Molecule: unclassified non-coding RNA, 922 nt
Organism: Acromyrmex echinatior (Panamanian leafcutter ant)
Lineage: Eukaryota; Metazoa; Arthropoda; Insecta; Hymenoptera; Formicidae
Source: RefSeq, a predicted model, not a curated record